AAACGUUCGAUAACAUGCAUUUUGAAUUUUUUGCAGACAUGACCUCGUCAGUCCUACUGAUGCUGUUUUCGAGAUUUUCAAACAAAGAAUCAGACAUUGGAAGGAAAAGCAAAACGUACUUUGUUCGUAUCAUUUUAGGAUUAAUUAUGAGUAUUGCAGCGUUUACAGCUGUUUGUUUAAUUUACAAAGAAACAUUUAUCAACUAUAAAGCUGCCAUUGGAUAUUUUCGAUGAUAAUAAUUCAUUUAGUUUGGAUAACCUUGAGUGAACUCAUAACAAAUUGUAGAUUGGGAUAUUGACAUUGAAGAUGACAACAUCAACAAGUAUAUAAUACUUUCUGCUGCCAACAAAUUAAGGGACAUUGUUUUCGACAUAUAUCUUUUGUUCUAUUCGCUUAUUUUAUCAGAAUGGGAAAUGACAUACUUUUCAAUAACGAUUAUUGUUCUAUUCGUCUCUGACAUAUUGUGUAAUUUUACUUUAAUAUUGAUAACGGUUUAUAUGAAAUUUGAAGGCAGAGAUGAGGAAGAAGAAAACAAACUUUUCCUACUAGCAUUUUUCUUUUUUUGUCCGAUAUUUACCCCGUUAUAUUCAUGCUUAGCUACGGUUGAUGAGUAACGACACUUACAUAUUAGACAUAUUGGAGUUAAGAUAUAUUUGUUUGCAUAACGUUCCGUGCGUACCAACAAGACUAUCAAAUUAAUUGUUAACAUAAAUAACAAUAAAUGGUAAAUAUUUGUUUGUGAAAUGAUUCGUAUGUUGUGUAUUGGUCAGAAAGACUUAGACACGUUGACACCCAUAUUUCUAACAUAAUGCAGGAAUUAUUGGUAAAUGUGAGAUUGAUGUGUCUUCCAUUUUAUCAACAUAUAUGAAAAUAGAUAUGUAUAUGUUCAAUAUAAGA
RNAcentral lists this long non-coding RNA (897 nucleotides) under Mytilus galloprovincialis (Mediterranean mussel). Lineage: Eukaryota; Metazoa; Mollusca; Bivalvia; Mytilida; Mytilidae. The record is from RNAcentral.